Molecule: ribosomal RNA, 254 nt
Filed under: uncultured bacterium
Lineage: Bacteria
Description: partial 16S ribosomal RNA
Rfam family: Bacterial small subunit ribosomal RNA
Source: RNAcentral
UACGUAGGGUGCAAGCGUUGUCCGGAAUUAUUGGGCGUAAAGAGCUCGUAGGCGGUUUGUCGCGUCUGCUGUGAAAACGCGGGGCUCAACUCCGCGCCUGCAGUGGGUACGGGCAGACUAGAGUGCAGCAGGGGAGACUGGAAUUCCUGGUGUAGCGGUGGAAUGCGCAGAUAUCAGGAGGAACACCGGUGGCGAAGGCGGGUCUCUGGGCCGAUACUGACGCUGAGGAGCGAAAGCGUGGGGGAGCGAACAGG